This 1446-nucleotide ribosomal RNA is filed under the name uncultured bacterium. Its description in RNAcentral is "bacterial SSU rRNA". It matches the Rfam family "Bacterial small subunit ribosomal RNA". The record is from RNAcentral.
GAGUUUGAUCCUGGCUCAGGAUGAACGCUGGCGGCGUGUCUUAGGCAUGCAAGUCGAAUGCUGUACUUGUACAGCAUGGCAAACGGGUGCGUAACACAUUGGUAACCUACCCUCGAGUGGGGCAUAAUCAACCGAAAGGCUGGAUAAUACCCCAUAGUUUCUUACAACAUAUGUUGUAAGAAUAAAGAUUUAUCGCUCGAGGAGGGGCCUAUGGUCUAUCAGCUUGUUGGUGAGGUAAUGGCUCACCAAGGCUCUGACAGAUAGCGGGUAUUAACGUACGACCCGCCUCACCGGGACUGAAACACUGCCCGGACUCCUACGGGAGGCUGCAGUCAAGAAUUUUCCGCAAUGCCCGAAAGGGUGACGGAGCGACGCCGCGUGCAGGAUGAAGGCCUUCGGGUCGUAAACUGCUUUUCCCAGGGAAGAAUUUUUGACGGUACCUGGGGAAUAAGGGACUGCUAACUUCGUGCCAGCAGCAGCGGUAAGACGAAGGUCCCAAGCGUUAUCCGGUGUUAUUAGGCGUAAAGCGUCCGCAGGUGGCUUAUCACAUCUUUGGUCAAAUCCCGGGGCUCAACCCCGGAACUGCCAAAGAGAUGGACAAGCUAGAGGCAGGGAGGGGCACGUGGAAUAGCUGGUGUAGUAGUAAAAUGCGUUAAUAUCAGCUAGAACACCAAAAGCGAAGGCAGCGUGCUGGAACUGUCCUGACACUCAUGGACGAAAGCGUGGGUAGCGAAUGGGAUUAGAUACCCCAGUAGUCCACGCCGUAAACGAUAGGUACUAGGCUUUGGGAGCUCGACCCUCUCAGAGCCGCUUCUAAAAAAGCUAACGCGUUAAGUACCUCGCCUGGGGAGUACGGCCGCAAGGCUAAAACUCAAAGGAAUUGACGGGAACCCGCACAAGCGGUGGAGCGUGUGGUUUAAUUCGACGAUAAGCGAGGAACCUCACCAAGGUUUGACAUCCUGGGAAUUUCCUGGAAACAGGAAAGUGCCGCAAGGAACCCAGUGACAGGUGCUGCAUGGUUGUCGUCAGCUCGUGUCGUGAGAUGUUCGGUUAAGUCCGUUAACGAGCGCAACCCCUAUGGUAUGUUACUACGUGUCAUACCAAACUGCCCUGGAUAACAGGGAGGAAGGCGGGGACGACGUCAAAUCAGCAUGGCUCUUACACCUUGGGCUACACACGCGCUACAAUGGCCGGUACAGAGGGACGCAAAGCCGUAAGGUGGAGCAAAUCCCCAAAACCGGUCUCAGUUCGGAUUGAGGUCUGCAAUUCGACCUCAUGAAGCCGGAAUCGCUAGUAACCGUGUAUCAGCCACGGCACGGUGAAUACGUUCUCGGGUUUUGUACACACCGCCCGUCACAUCAAGGGAGUCGGGGGUACCUGAAGUCCCACCAUUAGGUGGGCCCAAGGUAAAACCGAUGACAGGGAUGAAGUCGUAACAAGGUAACC